AGUGAACGCUGGCGGUAGGCCUAACACAUGCAAGUCGAACGGCAGCACAGUAAUAGCUUGCUCUUACGGGUGGCGAGUGGCGGACGGUUGAGGAAUACAUCGGAAUCUACUUUUUCGUGGGGGAUAACGUAGGGAAACUUACGCUAAUACCGCAUACGACCUACGGGUGAAAGCAGGGGAUCUUCGGACCUUGCGCGAUUGAAUGAGCCGAUGUCGGAUUAGCUAGUUGGCGGGGAAAAGGCCCACCAAGGCGACGAUCCUUAGCUGGUCUGAGAGGAUGAUCAGCCACACGGGACUUGAGAAACGGCCAAGCCUCCUACGGGAGGCAGAAGGGGGGAAUAUUGGAAAAUGGGCGAAAGCCUGAUCCAGCCAUACCGCGGGGGGGAAGAAGGCCUUCGGGUUGUAAAGCCCUUUUGUUGGGAAAGAAAAGAAGCAGGUUAAUACCCCGCUGUUCGGACGGGCCAAAAAGAAUAAGCACCGGCUAACUUCGU
RNAcentral lists this ribosomal RNA (491 nucleotides) under uncultured bacterium. Its description in RNAcentral is "partial 16S ribosomal RNA". It matches the Rfam family "Bacterial small subunit ribosomal RNA", at positions 29 to 506 of the family's 1533-position model. The record is from RNAcentral.